Molecule: transfer RNA, 74 nt
Filed under: Opitutales bacterium
Lineage: Bacteria; Pseudomonadati; Verrucomicrobiota; Opitutia; Opitutales
Description: tRNA-Gly
Rfam family: tRNA
About the family: Transfer RNA (tRNA) molecules are approximately 80 nucleotides in length.
Source: RNAcentral
GCGGGUAUAGUUUAGCGGUAAAACAUCUGCUUCCCAAGCAGGGGUCGGCGGUUCGAUUCCGCCUACCCGCACCA